UGCCUCGGCGCCAAAGCCCACAGGAGUUUUUGCUCUUCAGAAUCCAGUCAGAUUGAAGGAAGACGCCAGACCCGGAUUUUUGUACAUCCAUUUGCACAGUACUGUACAACAAGUUUCCUUUGCUGAGUUCCUUGGUCAGGGGUUUAAAUACAUUUGCUGUCCAGUACUGCAGUUGGAAUUUUCCAUCAAUUUUUUAUGGGCAACCAAAAAGAAGAAUUUUUGAAGGACCUGACAAACAUUGCCAUGGCCAUAUGUGUCAUCAAAAAGGAAGGAGGAGAUUUUGGAGAUUAUGACGACAUUGGCAUCGUUGUUGAUGGAACAGUGAUUCUUGAACAGAUAAAAUCUGUUGCACAAGCCUGUGCACUGAUGUUGGGGGCAAUUUAUGUGCUUGAUUUGGCUUACCCAAAAGAGCUCAAAUACUAUUACGAGUUUGCCCAAAAAGUACUCAUGCAAAUGAACUCUGACAAGCUCUCCUCAAAGGUUCUCAUACUGAAAAACAGUGUGAUACUGUAAUUUGAAGCAUUGAAGUGUUGAUAAAUGCUCAACAACCAUAUGUAUAUCACAUACAAAUUGCGACUUAGUGUAGGAUAGGUUUUGUGUAGUGUAGGUUUAUUUUGCUGUAGGAACUUGUUUUAAAUGUUGACUUAAGACUUGUAUUUAGUUAAAACUUUUUACAAAUUGUGUGUG
Molecule: long non-coding RNA, 687 nt
Organism: Danio aesculapii
Lineage: Eukaryota; Metazoa; Chordata; Actinopteri; Cypriniformes; Danionidae
Exons: 3
Source: RefSeq, a predicted model, not a curated record